Molecule: ribosomal RNA, 943 nt
Filed under: Bradyrhizobium elkanii
Lineage: Bacteria; Pseudomonadati; Pseudomonadota; Alphaproteobacteria; Hyphomicrobiales; Nitrobacteraceae
Description: bacterial SSU rRNA
Rfam family: Bacterial small subunit ribosomal RNA
Source: RNAcentral
CGGGCAUAGCAAUAUGUCAGCGGCAGACGGGUGAGUAACGCGUGGGAACGUACCUUUUGGUUCGGAACAACUGAGGGAAACUUCAGCUAAUACCGGAUAAGCCCUUACGGGGAAAGAUUUAUCGCCGAAAGAUCGGCCCGCGUCUGAUUAGCUAGUUGGUGAGGUAAUGGCUCACCAAGGCGACGAUCAGUAUCUGGUCUGAGAGGAUGAUCAGCCACAUUGGGACUGAGACACGGCCCAAACUCCUACGGGAGGCAGCAGUGGGGAAUAUUGGACAAUGGGCGCAAGCCUGAUCCAGCCAUGCCGCGUGAGUGAUGAAGGCCCUAGGGUUGUAAAGCUCUUUUGUGCGGGAAGAUAAUGACGGUACCGCAAGAAUAAACCCCGGCUAACUUCGUGCCAGCAGCCGCGGUAAUACGAAGGGGGCUAGCGUUGCUCGGAAUCACUGGGCGUAAAGGGUGCGUAGGCGGGUCUUUAAGUCAGGGGUGAAAUCCUGGAGCUCAACUCCAGAACUGCCUUUGAUACUGAAGAUCUUGAUUUCUUGAGAGGUGAGUGGAACUGCGAGUGUAGAGGUGAAAUUCGUAUAUAUUCGCAAGAACACCAGUGGCGAAGGCGGCUCACUGGCCCGAUACUGACGCUGAGGCACGAUAGCGUGAGGAGCAUACAGGAUUAUAUACCCUGGUAGUCCACGUUGUAAACGAUGAAUGCCAGCCGUUAGUGGGUUUACUCACUAGUGGCGCAGCUAACGCUUUAAGCAUUCCGCCUGGGGAGUACGGUCCCAGAUUAAAUCUCAUAGGAUUGAUGUGUGCCCGCACAAGCGGAGGGAGCAUGUGGUUUUAUUCUACGCGACGCGCAGAAAUCUUAUCAGCCCCUUGACAUCCCGGUCGCGGACUCCAGAGACUGAGUUCUACAGUUUCGGCUGGAUCGGGAUACAGGGGCUGCAUGC